This 484-nucleotide ribosomal RNA is filed under the name uncultured bacterium. RNAcentral's name for it is "partial 16S ribosomal RNA". It matches the Rfam family "Bacterial small subunit ribosomal RNA", at positions 30 to 507 of the family's 1533-position model. The record is from RNAcentral.
AUUGAACGCUGGCGGCAGGCCUAACACAUGCAAGUCGAGCGGAUGAAGGGAGCUUGCUCCUGGAUUCAGCUGCGGACGGGUGAGUAAUGCCUAUGAAUCUGCCUGUUAGUGGGGGAUAACGUCCGGAAACGGGCGCUAAUACCGCAUACGUCCUGAGGUAGAAAGUUGGGGAUCUUCGGACCUCACGCUAUCAGAUGAGCCUAGGUCGGAUUAGCUAGUUGGUGGGGUAAAGGCCUACCAAGGCGACGAUCCGUAACUGGUCUGAGAGGAUGAUCAGUCACACUGGAACUGAGACACGGUCAAGAAGCCUACGGGAGGCAGCAGUGGGGAAUAUUGGACAAUGGGCGAAAGCCUGAUCCAGCCAUGCCGCGUGUGUGAAGAAGGUCUUCGGAUUGUAAAGCACUUUAAGGUGGGAGGAAGGGCAGUAAGUUAAUACCUUGCUGUUUUGACGUUACCAACAGAAUAAGCACCGGCUAACUUCGUG